Chinchilla lanigera (long-tailed chinchilla) is the source of this 2972-nucleotide long non-coding RNA. RefSeq lists it as uncharacterized. NCBI's taxonomy places the organism in Eukaryota, Metazoa, Chordata, Mammalia, Rodentia, Chinchillidae. The record is from RefSeq and is a predicted model, not a curated record. The transcript has 6 exons.
AUCUGGAGUGACACACAGGCGAAGGAGAUUAUGUUGGAGGACUGGGGCUUGAAUGCCUCAUCCUGAAGAAUCCUGCAGUUGCCCAGAAAUGCGGGGCUAGAGAGAACAGAUGCUUGGAAACGCCGUUGACAUUUCCAAGUUUUUAUAGCCCUGGUACAUAGCCCACUAACUCCAGCAUGCUUCACACAUGGAAAGGGAUCAUUUGUCAUUUUGAUGCCAAGAUGAUAUUCACAGCUCUAAAUGAAAUGGAUUACUUCUUUCUCCCUCCUGCUUGGACAGUUAAGGUGGAGGUAUUUCAGGCAUUCAUUGGGCACCCUGCGUAGGCAUGAAUGGCAGACUGGGAUUAGAAUUUGCUCUGUGGCGGGUGAAACAGGAGUCUCUAAAAAUGCUCACAACAGCAAGAGGCACCAGUCUCUGCCGUGCUCAAUCAGGGAGGGACGUGUUUGGCAAAAAUACCUUCAUUCGGAAACACAUACAUAAUAGUCAUUAAAGGGCAUUUAAAACCGGAAACAACUAACAUUCAGAGGAGUGGUACCCACCUAUACACACCACUCUUUGUAUUUUAACAGCAGUGGUGGAAAUUUGGACCAUUUUCCAGACAAUAGAUAUUCUCAGUUCGAGUUGUAGACAUUCUAGGGCAACUCAGACUAUAGCAGGUCUUUCUGCUUUCAGGAAAUUAUGACUUUGUGGUAUUACCCAACCUGUAAGUAAAAGUAAAGGAUGCAGUGAGGUCAAGAUUGCUCAUGUUUUGGCUACUGGAUGAAGGACAGUGGCCAGGAACAUAAUUAGAAUCAAGAUGUUACUUCUCCGGAAACCUGAAGAACAUCGUAAAAUCAAUCGGUCCCCGGGUAACUCCAGAGUGCCCACUCUGACAACGGCAUUCUAGAAGUUGUUCUCUCUGGCCUGUGCACGGAAGUGUUCCAGAAGCUUCACUUCCCUUUUCUGUUGAGUGCACAUGGGGUGACCCUCGCAGGGAAAACUGCACAUUUUCUUGAAGAUUUCUAGUUUUAGUUUGCUUCCGUCUAGGGAUGUUAUGGGAGCUGCUAUGCUUUGGACUUGAAGUUUUGUGGAGCGAGUGUCUCUGGAACACAGGCCACAGGCAGACAGGAAGAUCUCUGCUGGGAAGCUGAGAUCUGUGUCAGAUAAACUCUCGUAGGGAAUAAGAACGUUUUGUCACACCAGCGUUCUCAGAAGGAAGCUGCGCAAGAUGUUGGCCCCUCCCUUUCCAUCUCCUUGGACCACCUGCAGUUCACCUGGUGGCUGUUUGAUGGGCUCUUUGCUUUGAACUGGAGAGCCGGGCUGCUUGCGUCUCAUUUGGAAAUUGGAUUCAUUGUCAACCCUUGAGCCCAGCCAUCCCAGGCAGAUGUGAGCAAAUCUUGGAAGCAGCUCCCCUGUCUGCUGGACACCGUCACAGUGCUGUGUGCUCAUGACACAGGGCGAGAGUGUGCAGUACAGUCCUCAGUCAGAAAAAACAGUGGUGAUGUGGAGGGGAUGGCCAGGAAGCACGAAGCAGCAUAUAUUGUAUGUUUGUGCCAAAGGGAAAGGAGAGAUGAAAGGUUCUAGAUGAACUAGAACAGAAGUCCGGUACACACGUAUGACAAGGCAAAGCGGACACACAAUGGUACUGGCACAGACACGUCUAAGUGUGCGUUCGAGGCAAGUUCAGACAGCACUGAAGAAGACCAAGGCAGCUGUGGGCCGUGAAUAGCUUCUGGGAUAUGCUCCCACCACGGCAGGCUGCCUCACAACAAGCCGAGAAGCAAUGGGACCGACCAACCAUGAACUGAUACCUCCAAAACUGUGAGCCAAACAAACAGGCAAACCUUCACCAGGUCACUGAAGCCCCGUGAACCACUUCAGAUCAUACUAGCUUCGUGACAUCUCGUACCCAGCGAUCACCCAGUCCUGUCAAUUCUACCUUCUAAAUGCCCCACUCCUCAAGCCCUCCUCCAAAUCUGUACUGCAGCCAAGGGAUUUUUGCUUCCAUAUGAAGAAUAGCGAUUUUCUCCCUGUGUCCUUGCCUCCAGAGGAUGGGAAACUGUGGCCGGAGAAGAACAGGGCAGUGCAAUCGGUAUCUUCACCUCCCAGGCUUUACACAGGGGACAGAACAGUAGCACCAAUGCUUGUCAAAGAAAUCCCUGGGGUUAUUAUGCAGUGCUGAGGACUGAACCUAGGGCUUCAUACGUGCUGGUCAAGUGCUGUACCACUGAGCUACACACCCAACACCAUUUAAAAAGAAAUUCUUAGAAUUCUUAGCCAGGCCUGGAAGUACAUACUUAAUGCUAGCCGUGUGCAAGCUUGAGGCAGGAUUAUUGCAAUUUGGAGCUCAGCCCAAGUAACUUCGUCAGAUCCUGUCUCAAAACACAGUUUCAAAGGACAAUUAGCUCAGUGGUAAGAUGCUUACCUGAUGAGCACCACAAAAGGAAAAUGUAAAAGAGAAUUCUUAAAGGUAAAACUUGGUAAACUAAUCUGCCCAUAAGACGAACAUGAGAAAGUCUUGCUGGACAGAGAAGCAUGCACACAGACCUAGACAUUCUCAAAGGAGGCUCCGUCUUGUCAAAAAUAGACUGCACUGCAAAGAGCCAUUGGGUAUAAGUCACUGUGUUGCGUAAUUUAUCAUUUCAUGUGACGGCAGAGGAAAGACUUGUCAUGGUCAAAGUGGGUCCCAGAGAGAGCCUCCAGACUGAGAAAGGACUCCGGGGCUUGGAAACUCCACUGAACCAAAUGCAGACACCUGCUGGCUGCGCCUCCUUAUCGUUCCUGUCAGUCUGCUUUCUCCACCACUCCCUGGUGUAAAAUAUCCCAGCCAUUGUGAAUUCAAGCCAUCUCAGCCAACAUUUAUUAUGGACUGAUUACGUGUCGAGGGGUUGGAAAAUAAAUAAUACAUGAGCACUGGGGAUUGAAAAUUAAUUGGUAACACAUAAGCAGAAUCUCCACCUCUAAGGGUUCCAAUAAACACAUCAGUGCUCUCA